CCUACGUGAGGCAGCAGUGAGGAAUAUUGGUCAAUGGGCGCGAGCCUGAACCCGCCAAGUAGCGUGAAGGCUGACUGCCCUACGGGUUGUAAACUUCUUUUAUACAGGAGUAAAGUGAGGCACGUGUGCCUUUUUGUAUGUCCUUUAUGAAUAAGGAUCGGCUAACUCCGUGCCAGCAGCCGCGGUAAUACGGAGGAUCCGAGCGUUAUCCGGAUUUAUUGGGUUUAAAGGGAGCGUAGAUGGGUUGUUAAGUCAGGUGGGAAAGUUUGCGGCUCAACAGUAAAAUUGCCAUUGAUACUGUCAGCCUUGAGUACAGUUGAGGUAGGCGGAAUUCGUGGUGUAGCGGUGAAAUGCUGAGAGAUCACGAAGAACACCGAUUGCGAAGGCAGCUUACUAAACUGCCACUGACAUUGAGGCUCGAAAGUGUGGGUAUCAAACAGGAUUAGAUACCCGAGUAGUC
Molecule: ribosomal RNA, 460 nt
Filed under: uncultured bacterium
Lineage: Bacteria
Description: partial 16S ribosomal RNA
Rfam family: Bacterial small subunit ribosomal RNA
Source: RNAcentral